CUCUACGGGGAGCAGCAGUAGGGAAUAUUCGGCCAAGGGGGAAAAUCUGUGAUGAGACACACAGCCGCGUGAGUGAAGAAGGUUUUUCGAUCUGGUAAACUCUGUUGGUAGAGAAGGAAGUUCGUGAGAGUGGAAAGCUCAUCAAGUGACGUAACUACCGAGU
This 163-nucleotide ribosomal RNA is filed under the name uncultured bacterium. RNAcentral's name for it is "partial 16S ribosomal RNA". The record is from RNAcentral.